RNAcentral lists this RNase P RNA (327 nucleotides) under Pseudozobellia sp. RNAcentral describes it as "RNase P RNA component class A". It matches the Rfam family "Bacterial RNase P class A". Rfam says of the family: Ribonuclease P (RNase P) is a ubiquitous endoribonuclease, found in archaea, bacteria and eukarya as well as chloroplasts and mitochondria. Lineage: Bacteria; Pseudomonadati; Bacteroidota; Flavobacteriia; Flavobacteriales; Flavobacteriaceae. The record is from RNAcentral.
CGAGCAGGUCACCUUGUCGCUGCCUUUCCAAUUUUUUUGGAAAGGGAGAGGAAAGUCUGGACACCAUAGUGCGGCAUAGCGGGUAACACCCGUCGCUCGCCAUAGGCGAACAGGACAAGUGCAACAGAAAGAAUGUACAGGUAAUGCUGUAGUGAAAUCAGGUAAACUCUAUGCGGUGAAACGCCAUGUAUAUCAGUGUUUGAGGGCUGCACGCCCGAGCUGAAGGGUAGGCGGAUGGAGUUCGACAGUAAUGUCGAAACUAGAUAAAUGACAAGGAAGUUUUCUUUGGGAAGCUUUACAGAAUCCGGCUUAUGGCCUGCUUUUUUA